Nicotiana attenuata is the source of this 87-nucleotide non-coding RNA. The record is from Rfam. Lineage: Eukaryota; Viridiplantae; Streptophyta; Magnoliopsida; Solanales; Solanaceae.
GGGUGGAUGUCUGAGCGGUUGAAAGAGUCGGUCUUGAAAAUUGAAGUAUUUAUAGAGAUACCGGGGUUUCGAAUCCCUCUCCAUCCG